CUCUCUCUCUCUCUCUCUCUUUCUCCCCUGCGAAACCCUCUUUUGCUUCAGCCUGUUUGAAAGCUACAAAGAACCAGCCCUGCAAGUAGCAGCAACCAGCAAGACAACAAGCAACAUUCUCUCUCUCUCUCUCUCCUGCUCUUCUCAAAAAACCAGCCCUGCGAGCAUCAAUGACCGGCAAGCUGAACGAGGCAAGCCUCUCUAUCUCCAUCACAAGGGCAACGAGACAACGAUUGGAGGGUGUUCCUCUAUCUCUCUCCAGAUAGCACAACAAAGGCCCUAACAAUGUCAUCUGAUUCUAUAAGUAAUCGAGGAUAUACAACUCGACGAUGCCCAAGGUGCAGUAUAGAUUGUGCUAAGAUGGCAUUAAGAAGCCAAAAUAACCGGAACAGGCUGUACUAUAGAUAUCUCAUAUGUGGUUUUUCCAAUGGUGUGAUGAAUAUAUUGUUGCCGUGAAAAAUGUCAAUUUAAGAUAUCGCAAUACACGACAGUGGAAUCCAGUACAAGAAUCAGAAGAACGUGUCAUGCUCAAUCAAGAAACAAGUGUUGGGUAUGAUGCAAUACUCGUUGCCAUAGGGUGCAUGCAUCAAUUUUUACUCGGUGCCUUUGGGCGUUUGCAACAAUUUUUGUAUUUUUUGUGUAUAAUAAAUGUGGCUUGCUUG
Amborella trichopoda is the source of this 662-nucleotide long non-coding RNA. RefSeq lists it as uncharacterized. NCBI's taxonomy places the organism in Eukaryota, Viridiplantae, Streptophyta, Magnoliopsida, Amborellales, Amborellaceae. The record is from RefSeq and is a predicted model, not a curated record.